RNAcentral lists this ribosomal RNA (280 nucleotides) under uncultured bacterium. RNAcentral's name for it is "partial 16S ribosomal RNA". It matches the Rfam family "Bacterial small subunit ribosomal RNA", at positions 773 to 1060 of the family's 1533-position model. The record is from RNAcentral.
GUGGAUUAGAUACCCUGGUAGUCCACGCCGUAAACGAUGGAUACUAGCUGUUGGGGGCAACUUCAGUGGCUAAGCGAAAGUGAUAAGUAUCCCACCUGGGGAGUACGAACGCAAGUUUGAAACUCAAAGGAAUUGACGGGGGCCCGCACAAGCGGUGGAGCAUGUGGUUUAAUUCGAUGAUACGCGAGGAACCUUACCAAGGCUUAAAUGUAGAUUGACCGUUUUGGAAACAGAACUUUCGCAAGACAAUUUACAAGGUGCUGCACGGUCGUCGCCAACU